CAGCCGCCGCGGUAAUACCGGCGGCCCGAGUGGCGGUCACUAUUAUUGGGCUUAAAACGUCCGUAGCCGGGUUGGGAAGUCCUCCGGGAAAUCUGGCCGCUUAACGGUCAGAAUGCCGGAGGAUACUCCCAGCCUAGGGAGCGGGAGAGGCCGAGGGGAUUCCCGGAGGAGGGGGGAAAUCCUAUAAUCCCGGGAGGACCACCGGUGGCGAAGGCGCUCGGCUGGAACGCGUCCGACGGUGAGGGACGAAGGCCAGGGGAGCAAACCGGAUUAGAUACCCGGGUAGUCCUGGCUGUAAACGAUGCGGACUUUGUGUCGGACAAGCUAUGAGCUUGUCCGGUGCCGGAGGGAAACCGUUAAGUCCGCCGCCUGGGGAGUACGGCCGCAAGGCUGAAACUUAAAGGAAUUGGCGGG
Molecule: ribosomal RNA, 414 nt
Filed under: uncultured microorganism
Description: bacterial SSU rRNA
Rfam family: Archaeal small subunit ribosomal RNA
Source: RNAcentral